CGAGCCGGAACGGGAGAGCCUCCACCGAGUUCGGGUGGGGCACCGAAGGAGCAAACUCCCCGGAAACUCUCAGGUAAACCUACCGUUCCAGGCCA
Molecule: non-coding RNA, 95 nt
Filed under: Alloactinosynnema sp. L-07
Lineage: Bacteria; Bacillati; Actinomycetota; Actinomycetes; Pseudonocardiales; Pseudonocardiaceae
Also listed under: 1 other name
Description: Glycine riboswitch aptamer
Rfam family: Glycine riboswitch aptamer
About the family: This family represents the bacterial glycine riboswitch. Glycine riboswitches usually consist of two metabolite-binding aptamers domains with similar structures in tandem. The aptamers cooperatively bind glycine to regulate the expression of downstream genes.
Source: Rfam by way of RNAcentral